AAUCUGGCGCAAUGGGCGAAAGCCUGACGCAGCCAGGCCGCGUGAAUGAUGUAUGUCUUAGGAUUGUAAAAUUCUUUCACCGGGGACGAUAAUGACGGCACUCGGAGAAGAAGACCCGGCUAACUUCGUGCCAGCAGCCGCGGUAAUACGAAGGGGGCUAGCGUUGCUCGGAAUUACUGGGCGUAAAGGGCGCGUAGGCGGAUCGUUAAGUCAGGGGUGAAAUCCCGGGGCUCAACCUCGGAACUGCCCUUGAUACUGGCGAUCUUGAGUAUGAGAGAGGUAUGUGGAACUCCGAGUGUAGAGGUGAAAUUCGUAGAUAUUCGGAAGAACACCAGUGGCGAAGGCGACAUACUGGCUCAUUACUGACGCUGAGGCGAGAAAGCGUGGGGAGCAAACA
Molecule: ribosomal RNA, 397 nt
Filed under: uncultured bacterium
Lineage: Bacteria
Description: partial 16S ribosomal RNA
Rfam family: Bacterial small subunit ribosomal RNA
Source: RNAcentral